Molecule: ribosomal RNA, 720 nt
Filed under: Triticum aestivum (bread wheat)
Lineage: Eukaryota; Viridiplantae; Streptophyta; Magnoliopsida; Poales; Poaceae
Description: partial small subunit ribosomal RNA
Source: RNAcentral
AUGUCGAAGCGGCCGGGCGCGACCAAGAAGAGGCUGAAGCGCGGCCUCUGGUCGCCGGAGGACGACGAGAAGCUCAUGAACCACGUUGCCCAGUACGGCUACGGCUGCUGGAGCUCUAUCGCCAAGAUUGCAGGCCUUGAGAGGUGCGGGAAGAGCUGCAGGCUGAGGUGGAUGCACUACCUGACGCCGGACCGAGGGGGGCCCUUCUCGCAGGGGGAGGAGGACCUCAUCAUCCACCUCCACUCCAUCCGGGGCAACAAGUGGUCUCAGAUCGCCGCGCAGCUGCCCGGGCGCACCGACAACGAGGUCAAGAACUUCUGGAACACCAUCAUCAAGAAGAAGCUCCGCCAGCGCCGCAUCGACCCUGCCAUCCACAAGCCGCUCGCUCACGCCGGCGCUGCCGCUGCCGCCACGCCCGUCACCCGCACUGCCGUAUUCAGCGAGGCCGAGCUGAUACUGUCGUCGCCCGUGGGGACGCAGCCCAUGCCGCCCCUGGUAUCGGCGGAGAGCUACGUGUACAGCCGGGGCAGCAUGGACGGCGCUGGCGGUGCGCACGCCGCGUUGGGCGGGUGCAGCGAUGACGGCUCCCUGUCGUCGCUGUCGGGGUACAACAACAACCAGAAGGCGGACUUCCCCGGGUACCUGGACGCGGACGCGCUGCACGGCGCGGUGAUCCCGUCGGUGUGGAGCUCCAGAACGCUGAACUGGUGGCGGGCGUGA